Molecule: transfer RNA, 71 nt
Filed under: Loxodonta africana (African savanna elephant)
Lineage: Eukaryota; Metazoa; Chordata; Mammalia; Proboscidea; Elephantidae
Rfam family: tRNA
About the family: Transfer RNA (tRNA) molecules are approximately 80 nucleotides in length. Their secondary structure includes four short double-helical elements and three loops (D, anti-codon, and T loops). Further hydrogen bonds mediate the characteristic L-shaped molecular structure. tRNAs have two regions of fundamental functional importance: the anti-codon, which is responsible for specific mRNA codon recognition, and the 3' end, to which the tRNAs corresponding amino acid is attached (by aminoacyl-tRNA synthetases). tRNAs cope with the degeneracy of the genetic code in two manners: having more than one tRNA (with a specific anti-codon) for a particular amino acid; and 'wobble' base-pairing, i.e. permitting non-standard base-pairing at the 3rd anti-codon position.
Source: Rfam by way of RNAcentral
GCAGCUGGGGUUCCAUGGUAGAAUUCUUGCCUUCCAUGUUGGAGGCCCAGGUUCGAUUCCUGGCCAAUGUA